This is a long non-coding RNA of Myotis lucifugus (little brown bat), 199 nucleotides long. RefSeq lists it as uncharacterized. The transcript is spliced from 3 exons. The record is from RefSeq and is a predicted model, not a curated record. Lineage: Eukaryota; Metazoa; Chordata; Mammalia; Chiroptera; Vespertilionidae.
AAGAAAUCAGAUGGCACCUUCAGUGCUCUGCUUGGACCCUCUCCAUAGCCAAAUCACCUUGUGCGUAAGGUGCUAUGCCAUUUCAUUCCAUCAGAGCCUCAUGCAGAAGAUAUACUGAAGAGGACACAGAAAGGUAAACGUACACUUCAAACACGGCCGGAACAGUUGGGUUCCCAGAGCGGUGCUUGGUGUAAAAGCC